GGGGAUGUAAUGGUUUCGACAUUACACCAGAAACAUAAAUUGCAAGUAGUGGAUUCUCGUUGGCCACUUAAAAAGCGAGAAAAUUAAAUAUAAACGCUGAUAGAGAAGAAUUAGCAUUAGCUGCCUAAGUUGCAGCUACGCUUUACUAAAUAUCCCACAUAUUUAGAUAAAGUGUCAUAACCGUGGGAAACAAAACUACUUUUUCUUGCGAAGUAGUGGGUAUUUUAGCAAGAUAUAUUUUAAUAAAACCUGUUUAUCGGUGUUGUUAAAAUGAACUUAAAUGAUAAACUAAACUUGUAGAAGUUUAUGUGGAAAGUGCUUUGGACAGGAGUUCGACUCUCCUCAUCUCCACCA
RNAcentral lists this transfer-messenger RNA (354 nucleotides) under Clostridia. RNAcentral describes it as "CAG-269 sp900554365 Standard tmRNA". It matches the Rfam family "transfer-messenger RNA". From Rfam's summary of the family: Bacterial tmRNA, also known as 10Sa RNA or SsrA, is named for its dual tRNA and mRNA-like properties. Its role is to liberate the mRNA from a stalled ribosome. To accomplish this part of the tmRNA is used as a reading frame that ends in a translation stop signal. The record is from RNAcentral. RNAcentral also lists the same sequence under 1 other name. Lineage: Bacteria; Bacillati; Bacillota.